GCAUAUCAAUAAGCGGAGGAAAAGAAACCAACAGGGAUUGCCCUAGUAACGGCGAGUGAAGCGGCAAGAGCUCAAAUUUGAAAUCUGGCCCUUUCAGGGUCCGAGUUGUAAUUUGUAGAGGGCGCUUUGGCGUCGGUUACGGCCUAAGUUCCUUGGAACAGGACGUCACAGAGGGUGAGAACCCCGUACGUGGCCGCUAGCCUUCGCCGUGUAAAGCCCCUUCGACGAGUCGAGUUGUUUGGGAAUGCAGCUCUAAAUGGGAGGUAAAUUUCUUCUAAAGCUAAAUACUGGCCAGAGACCGAUAGCGCACAAGUAGAGUGAUCGAAAGAUGAAAAGCACUUUGGAAAGAGAGUCAAAAAGCACGUGAAAUUGUUGAAAGGGAAGCGCUUGCAGCCAGACUUGCCUGUAGUUGCUCAUCCGAGCUCUCGCUCGGUGCACUCUUCUACUGGCAGGCCAGCAUCAGUUCGGGCGGUCGGAUAAAGGUCUCGGGAAUGUAGCUCCCCUCGGGGAGUGUUAUAGCCCGGGACGUCAUGCGACCAGCCUGGACUGAGGUCCGCGCAUCUGCUAGGAUGCUGGCGUAAUGGCUGUAAGCGGCCCGUCUUGAAACACGGACCAAGGAGUCUAACAUCUAUGCGAGUGUUUGGGUGUCAAGCCCGGGCGCGCAAUGAAAGUGAACGGAGGUGGGAACCCCUCGGGGCGCACCAUCGACCGAUCCUGAUGUCUUCGGAUGGAUUUGAGUAAGAGCAUAGCUGUUGGGACCCGAAAGAUGGUGAACUAUGCCUGAAUAGGGUGAAGCCAGAGGAAACUCUGGUGGAGGCUCGCAGCGGUUCUGACGUGCAAAUCGAUCGUCAAAUUUGGGCAUAGGGGCGAAAGACUAAUCGAACUAUCUAGUAGCUGGUUCCUGC
This 905-nucleotide ribosomal RNA is filed under the name Humicola brunnea var. africana. RNAcentral describes it as "LSU rRNA". It matches the Rfam family "Eukaryotic large subunit ribosomal RNA", at positions 38 to 961 of the family's 3401-position model. The record is from RNAcentral. Lineage: Eukaryota; Fungi; Ascomycota; Sordariomycetes; Sordariales; Chaetomiaceae.